This is a long non-coding RNA of Sardina pilchardus (European sardine), 402 nucleotides long. RefSeq lists it as uncharacterized. The record is from RefSeq and is a predicted model, not a curated record. The transcript is spliced from 3 exons. Lineage: Eukaryota; Metazoa; Chordata; Actinopteri; Clupeiformes; Clupeidae.
AAGAGCACAAUUUCUUAUAAAGGCAAUCUUCCCUCCAUCUCACUGUGAACCAUGCAGUUAUCCCAUUCAAGUGGGGUGAUACUAGUUUUCUCCAUUUUGUUUACAGCAACUUUAGGAGCUCCUCUAGCUAAUAGAGGGGAAAAGGAUGACUAUCCACUGGAGUUACUAUUCGACCCAGAACCAUUCAAGAAGCAUAUCACCUUAGUGGAUGAUUAUGGAGUGAAACCAGUACCACCUAAAGUGCCGUCCUGCCUGCGAUCUCAGAGGGAGGGAACCUAUCGGCUGAUGGAGGAGGAGGACUGGUAGUUGUCAGCAAUGCUGCCUCUUCACUUCCAGGCAAUGAUAAAUAAACUCACCAUGAGUUAGAACUGUACAGGCAAUGAUAAACAAACUAAAAUGAAA